RNAcentral lists this ribosomal RNA (460 nucleotides) under uncultured bacterium. RNAcentral's name for it is "partial 16S ribosomal RNA". It matches the Rfam family "Bacterial small subunit ribosomal RNA", at positions 338 to 795 of the family's 1533-position model. The record is from RNAcentral.
CCUACGGGUGGCAGCAGUGAGGAAUAUUGGUCAAUGGACGAGAGUCUGAACCAGCCAAGUCGCGUGAAGGAUGACUGCCCUAUGGGUUGUAAACUUCUUUUAUAUGGGAAUAAAAUGUUCCACGUGUGGGAUUUUGUAUGUACCUUAUGAAUAAGCAUCGGCUAACUCCGUGCCAGCAGCCGCGGUAAUACGGAGGAUCCGAGCGUUAUCCGGAUUUAUUGGGUUUAAAGGGAGCGGAGAUGGAUUGUUAAGUCAGUUGUGAAAGUUUGCGGCGCAACCGUAAAAGUGCAGUUGAAACUGGCAGUCGUGAGUACAGGAGAGGGAGGCGGAAUUCGUGGUGUAGCGGUGAAAUGCUUAGAUAUCACGAAGAACUCCGAUUGCGAAGGCAGUUCACUGGACUGCAACUGACACUGAGGCUCGAAAGUGUGGGUAUCAAACAGGAUUAGAUACCCCUGUAGUC